CCCGAUAGGACUAUCCACCUGAAAUGGUUUGUGUUCCAAAUGAUUUAUCGCCGUAGGAUGGGACUGCGGCCUAUCAGUUUGUUGGUGAGGUAAUGGCCCACCAAGACUAUUACAGGUACGGGCUCUGAGAGGAGUAGCCCGGAGAUGGGUACUGAGACACGGACCCAGGCCCUAUGGGGCGCAGCAGGCGAGAAAACUUUGCAAUGUGCGAAAGCACGACAAGGUUAAUCCGAGUGAUUUCUGCUAAAGAAAUCUUUUGUUAGUCCUAGAAACACUAACGAAUAAGGGGUGGGCAAGUUCUGGUGUCAGCCGCCGCGGUAAAACCAGCACCUCAAGUGGUCAGGAUGAUUAUUGGGCCUAAAGCAUCCGUAGCCGGCUCUGUAAGUUUUCGGUUAAAUCUGUACGCUCAACGUACAGGCUGCCGGGAAUACUGCAGAGCUAGGGAGUGGGAGAGGUAGACGGUACUCGGGAGGAAGUGGUAAAAUGCUUUGAUCUCUCGAUGACCACCUGUGGCGAAGGCGGUCUACCAGAACACGUCCGACGGUGAGGGAUGAAAGCUGGGGGAGCAAACCGGAUUAGAUACCCGGGUAGUCCCAGCUGUAAACUAUGCAAACUCAGUGAUGCAUUGGCUUGUGGCCAAUGCAGUAUUGCAGGGAAGCCGUUAAGUUUGCCGCCUGGGAAGUACGUACGCAAGUAUGAAACUUAAAGGAAUUGGCGGGGGAGCACCACAAGGGGUGAAGCCUGCGGUUCAAUUGGAUUCAACGCCGGGAAUCUUACCCGGAGAGACAGCAGAAUGAAGGUCAAGCUGAAGACUUUACCAGACAAGCUGAGAGGUGGUGCAUGGCCGUCGCCAGCUCGUGCCGUGAGAUGUCCUGUUAAGUCAGGUAACGAGCGAGAUCC
RNAcentral lists this ribosomal RNA (900 nucleotides) under uncultured archaeon. RNAcentral's name for it is "bacterial SSU rRNA". It matches the Rfam family "Archaeal small subunit ribosomal RNA", at positions 152 to 1053 of the family's 1478-position model. The record is from RNAcentral.